CUUUACGUUCUAGCGCAUGGCCUUGCUGCUUGUGCAGUGAGGUGACGAGGAAGAGGUUGUCGAUUUAUCAGCGGAUGCCUCUCGGCUUGCCGGUCGUUAGAAUGCUGUUAAAACUGUCGGGUAACUGGCAGGACAGAGCGGCAUUUGGGGCAGGAC
Molecule: non-coding RNA, 156 nt
Filed under: Anaerovibrio sp.
Lineage: Bacteria; Bacillati; Bacillota; Negativicutes; Selenomonadales; Selenomonadaceae
Description: GlcN6P sequence
Rfam family: glmS glucosamine-6-phosphate activated ribozyme aptamer
About the family: This entry contains a glucosamine-6-phosphate activated ribozyme that is found in the mRNA for GlmS. GlmS is an enzyme that uses fructose-6-phosphate and glutamine to generate glucosamine-6-phosphate.
Source: RNAcentral